This 305-nucleotide ribosomal RNA is filed under the name uncultured bacterium. RNAcentral describes it as "partial 16S ribosomal RNA". It matches the Rfam family "Bacterial small subunit ribosomal RNA", at positions 508 to 809 of the family's 1533-position model. The record is from RNAcentral.
ACAGCAGUAGCCGCGGGAAUACAGAGGGUGCGAGCGUUAAUCGGAUUUACUGGGCGUAAAGCGUGCGUAGGCGGCUUUUUAAGUCGGAUGUGAAAUCCCUGAGCUUAACUUAGGAAUUGCAUUCGAUACUGGGAAGCUAGAGUAUGGGAGAGGAUGGUAGAAUUCCAGGUGUAGCGGUGAAAUGCGUAGAGAUCUGGAGGAAUACCGAUGGCGAAGGCAGCCAUCUGGCCUAAUACUGACGCUGAGGUACGAAAGCAUGGGGAGCAAACAGGAUUAGAUACCCGGGUAGUCCCUGUCUCUUAUAU